AACCAGACUCCUACGGGAGGCAGCAGUGGGGAAUAUUGCACAAUGGGGGAAACCCUGAUGCAGCGACGCCGCGUGAGCGAUGAAGUAUUUCGGUAUGUAAAGCUCUAUCAGCAGGGAAGAAAAUGACGGUACCUGGCUAAGAAGCCCCGGCUAACUACGUGCCAGCAGCCGCGGUAAUACGUAGGGGGCAGGCGUUAUCCGGAUUUACUGGGUGUAAAGGGAGCGUAGACGGCCAUUCAAGCCAGAUGUGAAAGCCCGGGGGUCAACCCCGGGACUGCAUUUGGAACUGUGUGGCUAGAGGGGCGGAGAGGCAGGCGGAAUUCCUAGUGUAGCGGUGAAAUGCGGAGAUAUUAGGAGGAACACCAGUGGCGAAGGCGGCCUGCUGGACGAUGGCUGACGUUGAGGCUCGAAAGCGUGGGGAGCAAACAGGAUUAGAUACCCCAGUAA
Molecule: ribosomal RNA, 447 nt
Filed under: uncultured bacterium
Lineage: Bacteria
Description: bacterial SSU rRNA
Rfam family: Bacterial small subunit ribosomal RNA
Source: RNAcentral